CCUACGGGAGGCAGCAGUGGGGGAUAUUGCACAAUGGGGGAAACCCUGAUGCAGCGACGCCGCGUGUGGGAAGACGGUCCUCUGGAUUGUAAACCACUGUCCCCAGGGACGAAGAUGACGGUACCUGGGGAGGAAGCUCCGGCUAACUACGUGCCAGCAGCCGCGGUAAUACGUAGGGAGCGAGCGUUGUCCGGAAUUACUGGGUGUAAGGGGGGCGUAGGCGGGACUGCAAGUUGGGUGUCAAAUCUACCGGCUCAACCGGUAGCCGCACUCAAAACUGCAGUUCUUGAGUGAAGUAGAGGCAGGCGGAAUUCCUAGUGUAGCGGUGAAAUGCGUAGAUAUUAGGAGGAACACCAGUGGCGAAGGCGGCCUGCUGGGCUUUUACUGACGCUGAGGCUCGAAAGUGUGGGGAGCAAACAGGAUUAGAUACCCCAGUAGUC
Molecule: ribosomal RNA, 440 nt
Filed under: uncultured bacterium
Lineage: Bacteria
Description: partial 16S ribosomal RNA
Rfam family: Bacterial small subunit ribosomal RNA
Source: RNAcentral